AUACGUAGGUGGCAAGCGUUGUCCGGAUUUACUGGGUGUAAAGGGCGUGCAGCCGGGGAAGCAAGUCAGGUGUGAAAUGCAGAGGCUUAACCUCUGAAUUGCAUUUGAAACUGUUUUUCUUGAGUACUGGAGGGGCAAUCGGAAUACCUAGUGUAGCGGUGAAAUGCGUAGAUAUUAGGAGGAACACCAGUGGCGAAGGCGGAUUGCUGGACAGCAACUGACGGUGAGGCGCGAAAGCGUGGGGAGCGAACAGGAUUAGAUACCCUGGUAGUCCACGCGGUAAACGAUGAAUGCUAGGUGUAGGGGGUAUCGACCCCUUCUGUGCCGGAGUAAACGCAAUAAGCAUUCCGCCUGGGGAGUACGGCCGCAAGGUUGAAACUCAAAUGAAUUGACGGGG
This 397-nucleotide ribosomal RNA is filed under the name uncultured bacterium. RNAcentral describes it as "partial 16S ribosomal RNA". It matches the Rfam family "Bacterial small subunit ribosomal RNA", at positions 523 to 918 of the family's 1533-position model. The record is from RNAcentral.